Molecule: ribosomal RNA, 1308 nt
Filed under: Triticum aestivum (bread wheat)
Lineage: Eukaryota; Viridiplantae; Streptophyta; Magnoliopsida; Poales; Poaceae
Description: partial small subunit ribosomal RNA
Source: RNAcentral
AUGGAUGAGCCGGAGAACCCAAUUCCCCCAGAAGUGCAGUCCCUGUUGUCGGAGUUUGACGACCGUUUCUGCGCCCCGUCCAGCCUACCACCUCAUCGAGAAGAUGAUCACACCAUUCCAUUGAUCCCUGGCGCACAACCAGUUAGUGCACGGCCGUAUCGAUACACACCCCAACAGAAGGAUGAAAUAGAAAAACAGAUCAAGGAGAUGCUCCGCGCAGGUAUCAUCCGCCCCAGUUCGAGCCCCUUUGCUGCCCCAGUGCUGCUUGUGCGAAAAAAGGACGGAACGUGGCGUUUCUGUGUGGACUAUCGCCAACUUAAUGCAAUCACGGUCAAGAACAAACAUCCAAUGCCGGUGGUGGAUGAGAUGUUGGACGAGAUCUCAGGCGCAAAAUGGUUCACCAAGCUGGACCUUCUCUCAGGGUAUCAUCAGAUAAGAGUGGCCGAUGAGGAUGUGUUCAAAACAGCCUUCCGCACCCACCAGGGCCUGUACGAGUUCCUGGUAAUGCCCUUUGGCCUCUCGCAUGCACCCGGCUCUUUCCAGAGCAUGAUACACAAGGUUCUCAAUCCUCUGCUCCGGCAUGGUGUUUUGGCGUUUAUGAAUGAUAUUUUGGUGCAUACAGCUACCUUGGAGGAACACCUACGUCGCCUACGUGAAGUAUUGCAGCUGCUGCGGGAUAAUGAAUUGGUGAUCAAACGCUCUAAGUGUGCCUUCGCCCAGCCUCGGAUCGAAUACCUCAGGCACGUCAUCGGUGCUGAGGGCGUGGCUACUGAUCCGGCAAAGGUUGAGGCAGUGCAGACUUGGCCUAUUCCCAUUUCUGUCCGGGCUGUUCGAGGGUUUUUGGGUCUCACGGGGUACUAUCGGAAGUUCAUUCAGCAUUACGGCGUGAUUAGUCGACCAGUGACAGAGCUGUUAAAAAAAGGCAAAAUUUUCCAGUGGACACAACCAGCAGAAACAGCUUUCCAGUUGCUCAAGAAGGCAAUGAUCGCAGCUCCGGUGUUGGCUGUACCCAAUUUCCAGCAAACAUUUGUCCUGGAGACCGAUGCAUGCAAGGAUGGCAUCGGGGCAGUCCUCAUGCAGCAAGGGCACCCAGUGGCUUACUUGAGCAAAGGGCUCUGUCUAAAGAAUCAAGCACUCAGCACGUACGAGAAGGAAUGCCUCGCCAUCCUGAUGGCCGUGGACAAAUGGAGGCCGUACCUACAGCACCAACAUUUCAUAAUACGCACAGAUCAGCAAGCCCUCUUGCAUCUCGCCGACCAAAGAUUGAGUACGGGGAUCCAGCACAAGGCCUUUGUCAAACUAAUGUGA